RNAcentral lists this ribosomal RNA (497 nucleotides) under uncultured bacterium. RNAcentral's name for it is "partial 16S ribosomal RNA". It matches the Rfam family "Bacterial small subunit ribosomal RNA", at positions 28 to 507 of the family's 1533-position model. The record is from RNAcentral.
GAUGAACGCUGGCGGCGUGCCUAAUACAUGCAAGUCGAGCGAACAGACGAGGAGCUUGCUCCUCUGACGUUAGCGGCGGACGGGUGAGUAACACGUGGAUAACCUACCUAUAAGACUGGGAUAACUUCGGGAAACCGGAGCUAAUACCGGAUAAUAUAUUGAACCGCAUGGUUCAAUAGUGAAAGACGGUUUUGCUGUCCCUUAUAGAUGAUGCCGCGCCGCAUUAGCUAGUUGGUAAGGUAACGGCUUACCAAGGCAACGAUGCGUAGCCGACCUGAGAGGGUGAUCGGCCACACUGGAACUGAGACACGGUCCAGACUCCUACGGGAGGCAGCAGUAGGGAAUCUUCCGCAAUGGGCGAAAGCCUGACGGAGCAACGCCGCGUGAGUGAUGAAGGUCUUCGGAUCGUAAAACUCUGUUAUUAGGGAAGAACAAAUGUGUAAGUAACUAUGCACGUCUUGACGGUACCUAAUCAGAAAGCCACGGCUAACUACGUG